Molecule: ribosomal RNA, 385 nt
Filed under: uncultured bacterium
Lineage: Bacteria
Description: bacterial SSU rRNA
Rfam family: Bacterial small subunit ribosomal RNA
Source: RNAcentral
GACGAACGCUGGCGGCGUGCUUAACACAUGCAAGUCGAGCGGUAAGGCCCUUUCGGGGGUACACGAGCGGCGAACGGGUGAGUAACACGUGGGUGACCUGCCCUCAGCUCUGGGAUAAGCCUGGGAAACCGGGUCUAAUACCGGAUAUGACUCCAUGACGCAUGUUGUGGGGUGGAAAGCCUUGUGCGGCUGAGGAUGGGCCCGNGGCCUAUCAGCUUGUUGGUGGGGUGAUGGCCUACCAAGGCGACGACGGGUAGCCGGCCUGAGAGGGCGACCGGCCACACUGGGACUGAGACACGGCCCAGACUCCUACGGGAGGCAGCAGUGGGGAAUCUUGCGCAAUGGGCGAAAGCCUGACGCAGCGACGCCGCGUGAGGGAUGACGG